This 530-nucleotide ribosomal RNA is filed under the name uncultured bacterium. RNAcentral's name for it is "bacterial SSU rRNA". It matches the Rfam family "Bacterial small subunit ribosomal RNA", at positions 978 to 1509 of the family's 1533-position model. The record is from RNAcentral.
UACUUGACAUCCAGAGAACUUUCCAGAGAUGGAUUGGUGCCUUCGGGAACUCUGAGACAGGUGCUGCAUGGCUGUCGUCAGCUCGUGUUGUGAAAUGUUGGGUUAAGUCCGCAACGAGCGCAACCCCUAUCCUUUGUUGCCAGCGAUUCGGUCGGGAACUCAAAGGAGACUGCCGGUGAUAAACCGGAGGAAGGUGGGGAUGACGUCAAGUCAUCAUGGCCCUUACGAGUAGGGCUACACACGUGCUACAAUGGCGUAUACAAAGAGAAGCGACCUCGCGAGAGCAAGCGGACCUCAUAAAGUACGUCGUAGUCCGGAUUGGAGUCUGCAACUCGACUCCAUGAAGUCGGAAUCGCUAGUAAUCGUAGAUCAGAAUGCUACGGUGAAUACGUUCCCGGGCCUUGUACACACCGCCCGUCACACCAUGGGAGUGGGUUGCAAAAGAAGUAGAUAGCUUAACCUUCGGGAGGGCGUUUACCACUUUGUGAUUCAUGACUGGGGUGAAGUCGUAACAAGGUAAGCGUAGCGAG